RNAcentral lists this ribosomal RNA (610 nucleotides) under uncultured bacterium. RNAcentral's name for it is "bacterial SSU rRNA". It matches the Rfam family "Bacterial small subunit ribosomal RNA", at positions 95 to 719 of the family's 1533-position model. The record is from RNAcentral.
GUGGCGGACGGGUGAGUAAUGCGUGAGCAACCUGCCCUUCAGAGGGGGACAACAGUUGGAAACGACUGCUAAUACCGCAUAAUGUAUUCGGAAGGCAUCUUCUGAAUACCAAAGGAGAAAUCCGCUGAGGGAUGGGCUCACGUCUGAUUAGUUAGUUGGUGAGGUAACGGCUCACCAAGACUGCGAUCAGUAGCCGGACUGAGAGGUUGAACGGCCACAUUGGGACUGAGAUACGGCCCAGACUCCUACGGGAGGCAGCAGUGGGGAAUAUUGGGCAAUGGGCGAAAGCCUGACCCAGCAACGCCGCGUGAAGGAAGAAGGCCUUCGGGUUGUAAACUUCUUUUAAGAGGGACGAAGAAGUGACGGUACCUCUUGAAUAAGCCACGGCUAACUACGUGCCAGCAGCCGCGGUAAUACGUAGGUGGCGAGCGUUAUCCGGAUUUACUGGGUGUAAAGGGCGCGUAGGCGGGAAUGCAAGUCAGAUGUGAAAUCCAGGGGCUUAACCCUUGAACUGCAUUUGAAACUGUAUUUCUUGAGUGUCGGAGAGGUUGACGGAAUUCCUAGUGUAGCGGUGAAAUGCGUAGAUAUUAGGAGGAACACCAGUGGCGAA